ACAUACCGGACCAGCAUUGGCCCUACACGGGGCAAUUCAGGAGAGUAUGGACAGGAAGUAUUUCCCCUUUUCCUGCUCUGGUUCGUCUGAACUAACAAUAAAUUCUACGGUUUGAAAAAUGCAACCAUGGUGUGCGCGGUACAAGAACAUUUGUUGACUAUUUUCGCCCAUAAUAAAGACUUUUGCAAGUAUUUUACUUUAUAAUAACAGAUUUUCUAUAUUAUGAGAAGAUGAAAACCAAUACCCAGAUUUUUGCAACGUGACAAAAUGUUGUCGAAGCAAGAGACAAUUAUUCUUCAUUUAGCUAUGGAUGAACCAUCAGAGAGUCUUUCGGUUCUUUUGUCAGCCUUUUCCAUGUAAUCUUGAUGAGAUUGGUGUUUUGCUCCUGAAAGGAAAAAAUAGAAAAUAAAAUUUUUUCAAGUCGCUGUUUCAUUAUAAGCAGCAUAUAAUAAUCUUGAAAAGAAGGAUACAUGCACAAAAUAUGAAAGAUCCUUGCAGAAAACCAUGAGAUAUCGGUUACAUCUUUCAAAAUUUUGUUUCUGUUUUCUUUUCUUUUCAAUUCAAGUUCUUUUGUAUUUGUUUUCUUUGUGGUGGAGAGGAAGAGGUGAAGAUAGCAACAUGAAGAGCUCUGAACCAAAUCAGUUUCAAAUUAUACCCAAAUGAGUCUGAUAAAACCCAUUUAUAAGAAUGUACACACCCUAAAGAACAGAGGAUUGGGUCAGACAAAGGAGUAGAUAAUGACAACGAAUAUGCCUCCUUCAACUGAGGCAACAGUUUUAGAAGACCUUCUCGGUUGUAUUUAUGCACUCGUGUUAUUUUGGGCCACUCUCAGCAAACUUGCAGCGUGCAAACAAGUCCAAAAUUGAAUUAUACAUGAAUGAGCACAUUCACAAAUCAAAUAUUUCAAGUGCAGGAAUUCCCUCAACCAAGCCAACCUCAAUCGAUCCACUGACCACAGUUACGUAAUCUGAUUCAUGAGAUAGGCAUCUAAUCUUUAUAUUUUAAAACCAAUGUAGCUUUAGUAAACAGUAAACACCAACUCAGCUUUUACAAUUAAUAAACAUGAAGCAAUUAAGGCCCCUUAGUUUGCAAAGGAAGAUCCCAUGCUUAUCGGGAUUUAGAUAAGCCAUAUAUAUAAGAAAAAUCAGAGUAAUGCCAAAACCAACAGGAAGAAGGACCAAGUCACAGUGAGAUUUCACUUGGUCUCACUCAGCAUUUAUCGCAUUUUUCCUUUCCUUCCUGGCCGAGAAAAGAAAGGUGCCAGCAUUAUUUUCUCUACCUCUCUCCAUCCUUCUACAUUUCUACACAUCUCACACUACUUAAGGUCCUCUCCCUCCCGAGUCAUGACCACAAACUCUUUUUUCAACUCCCCCUACUCUUGGCUAAGUAUCAUUAUACCUAAAUAGAAUGACAGUGUCACUCUUAUACAACCCCCCCUUGGGCUACUAUUUUACUUCACUAUUGUUCUUAGCAUUCCCCCCACCCCACCCCACCCCCCCUCUUCGAGGGGAAACUGGAUUGUUCAAAUAUAGAGAAAGUAUAGUCUUUUGCGUUCACUGUUAUUUUAGAAGUUUGGAGAUUAUCAAUACAAAAUAAAGCAUCAAACUCUAAAAUUGGGCGCCGACCUCGAUCACCAUUCACCAAAGAAAUAAAUUGAUUAUAACCUUUCAAAAGAAGUAAAGACUUCUGUGAUAAUAUUUCGUGCAUAUGCAUCAAGCUAAUUGGGCAGCUCAAAGAUCAUGCACUGCUUAUUCAGGAUUGCAGAUGUGACUUUGACUUACUUCCAACAAAAUUGUUUCAGAUAACAUUGUCAUAAAAGUGUAUUGACGAUGAUAAAUUUAUUUCACAAGGCGUUCUUGCCUCGCUCUCAUGGUCUUAACUACCAUUCAAAUUGAACUAUUCAUUUAAAAAUAGCCAUCAAAUAAAAUACUGCAAAAGUAACAAGAACAGCUUCAAAUAUCAAAAUAUUCAUUCCAACUGAUACUAAUCAUAGAAUUAUUCCCAAAAAUCCAGCUUUGUUAAAUAUAUUUUUUAAAAUUUCCUUCCGUCCAACCAAAACUCCUCUCAUAAAUUUCAUUUCUGGUAGCAGUAUUAGAACUCAGUAACGAACCAAUAGCCACACAUAUAUUAAUUGCAUAAACAGAACGCAGCAGCUCCGCAAAGAAGUGCCAAAUUUUAACCAAAUUUUCAGAUUCACAUUAAAAACAGUGAAAAAUGAGGAUACCCAAAACCCAUAUCGAUCUCACGAGUCUUAAAAAAAUGUUUAAAGAAGACAUACCUGAGUUUUAACCAAAUUUUCAGAUUCACAUUCAAAACAAUGAAAUUGAUAAACUUAGCGGAAUACAACUCUGAAAUAGGUAAAGUUACGAAAAUCA
Molecule: long non-coding RNA, 2375 nt
Filed under: Olea europaea (common olive)
Lineage: Eukaryota; Viridiplantae; Streptophyta; Magnoliopsida; Lamiales; Oleaceae
Description: long non-coding RNA (OEUR_LNC006607)
Source: RNAcentral